Triticum urartu is the source of this 1313-nucleotide non-coding RNA. The record is from RefSeq and is a predicted model, not a curated record. NCBI's taxonomy places the organism in Eukaryota, Viridiplantae, Streptophyta, Magnoliopsida, Poales, Poaceae.
GUACCCCACUGCUGCUUGCGGAAGCCACCGCAUCUCUCCGCCAUAGCUUGCCCACGCGUGUGCGAGCAACCAUAGCUCCCCCGCCGAUGGCCCAUGCCUUGCUGAUGCCUGCGCGAGCCACUGUGGUUCGUCGCCGGUGCUCGUCCAUGUCUGUAGGCGCCGGCGCAGCUCGUCCUCGCCUCGCGGAUACCUACACAAGCCACCGCAGCUUGCCGCGGGUUCUCCCACACGCCCGCGCGCGACAGCGCAGCUCUCCGCGGGUGCUUGCCCUCCCCUGCGCGCAUCGGCGCAGAUCGCCCUCCCCUGCUGGAGAAGCAUUCUAGUGGCGAGACUGGUGCUGAAGAGAAGGUGGAUGCCUUGUGCAGGUCCUGAGCAAGUGGCUUAAUGGCAGCAACGGCCGGAGGAGGAGAUGGAUGCGUAUGCAGGUCCUGAAGGUGUUGAAUGCAAGCAACAUUGAUGACUUCCGGGUAGAACCAGGGUGGCUUCCUGGCGUCGCCGAGAGUAGCUCUGCCAUUGAGUCGCUGGAUCUACUUGCAAGUAGUGGAGCGCCCUAACUCAUUCAGAUCCUCGCCUUCCACGGCCAGGCGACCGACCGUGGAGCACCACAUGACGUUCCUCUUGGCGGCCAUAACCAAUCGGCAGACCUGCCUGCAGCCCGACAUCCGCCAGAUCUUGCUUCCUUGGCCAAGAAGCUGCCCACUAGUCCUUGCGGCGUGGUGCCAGGAAGAAGAAACAGGGGUGCAGCGGCGGCGACGGCCAUCAAUCGGCGGCAGCGGCGGGAGCAUGCUGUUGCACCACGCUUCUACUGUGCAGUUGGCUAGCUUAAUAGCGCAAGGUGAGAUCCCAACGGGCUAAGAGCAUGUACAAUGCAUAGCCUCAAGGUGAUGCCUCGCAUGCCAUAUAGGAUUGGAUAUGACGUAAAGUAGGUUCGGAUAGGGAAGCGGGAUCCUCUUCAGGAGGCGGGUGCUUGAAGAGAAAAAGUGUGGUCCGGUGACAAAAGCUGAAAAGGUUGGAAUGAAAAGUAGAGAUGCAUGUGUACUAGAGUUUUUAUUUUCUAUUAGAAAAUGUGCCCGUGCGUUGCAACGGAAUAAAUAAAUAUUUUCAUGUCCCUAGUGGUGACACAUCCGUAUUGCCGUGUCUCCUCUUCAUCAUCGUUGUCAAUGAUAGUCACGUUAUUCACUUACUCAUGAUAAAAGUGGUCAAUCCUAAGGCAAUGGGCUUGCUUACUCUAGAAUGCCACUUCAUGAGCUCCUUUCUACAACGACUUGUAAUUCUAUGGACUUAUGAUGAUGGUGCACGCCAUUUUUAUCUCA